RNAcentral lists this ribosomal RNA (462 nucleotides) under uncultured bacterium. RNAcentral describes it as "bacterial SSU rRNA". It matches the Rfam family "Bacterial small subunit ribosomal RNA", at positions 330 to 792 of the family's 1533-position model. The record is from RNAcentral.
CCCAGACUCCUACGGGAGGCAGCAGUGGGGAAUAUUGCACAAUGGGGGAAACCCUGAUGCAGCGACGCCGCGUGAGUGAAGAAGUAUUUCGGUACGUAAAGCUCUAUCAGCAGGGAAGAAAAAAAGUCCUUUGGACUUUGGACGGUACCUGACUAAGAAGCCCCGGCUAACUACGUGCCAGCAGCCGCGGUAAUACGUAGGGGGCAAGCGUUAUCCGGAUUUACUGGGUGUAAAGGGAGCGUAGACGGCAGCACAAGUCUGGAGUGAAAUGCCGGGGCUUAACCCCGGAACUGCUUUGGAAACUGUGCAGCUAGAGUGCAGGAGAGGUAAGUGGAAUUCCUAGUGUAGCGGUGAAAUGCGUAGAUAUUAGGAGGAACACCAGUGGCGAAGGCGGCUUGCUGGACGAUGACUGACGCUGAGGCUCGAAAGCGUGGGGAGCAAACAGGAUUAGAUACCCUAGUA